RNAcentral lists this ribosomal RNA (377 nucleotides) under uncultured Anaplasma sp. RNAcentral's name for it is "bacterial SSU rRNA". Lineage: Bacteria; Pseudomonadati; Pseudomonadota; Alphaproteobacteria; Rickettsiales; Anaplasmataceae. The record is from RNAcentral.
GACAUGGGGACUAGAUCCUUCUYAACGGAAGGGCGCAGUUAGGCUGGGUCCCACACASRUGCUGCAYGGCUGUCGUCAGCUCGUGUCGUGAGAUGUUGGGUUAAGUCCCGCAACGAGCGUAACCCUCAUUCUUAGUUGCCAGCGGGUAAUGCCGGGCACUUUAAGAAAACUGCCGGUGGUAAACYGGAGGAAGGUGGGGAUGAUGUCAAGUCAGCACGGCCCUUAUGGGGUGGGCUACACACGUGCUACAAUGGUAGCUACAAUGGGUUGCAAUGUCGCAAGGCGGAGCUAAUCCUCAAAAGCUAUCUCAGUUCGGAUUGUCCUCUGCAACUCGAGGGCAUGAAGUCGGAAUCGCUAGUAAUCGUGGAUCAGCAUGC